RNAcentral lists this ribosomal RNA (317 nucleotides) under uncultured bacterium. RNAcentral describes it as "bacterial SSU rRNA". It matches the Rfam family "Bacterial small subunit ribosomal RNA", at positions 8 to 323 of the family's 1533-position model. The record is from RNAcentral.
AGAGUUUGAUCCUGGCUCAGAUUGAACGCUGGCGGCAUGCCUUACACAUGCAAGUCGAACGGCAGCACGGGAGCAAUCCUGGUGGCGAGUGGCGAACGGGUGAGUAAUAUAUCGGAACGUGCCCAAUCGUGGGGGAUAACGCAGCGAAAGCUGUGCUAAUACCGCAUACGAUCUACGGAUGAAAGCGGGGGACUCAGCAAUGAGCCUCGCGCGAAUGGAGCGGCCGAUAUCAGAUUAGCUAGUUGGUGGGGUAAAGGCUCACCAAGGCGACGAUCUGUAGCUGGUCUGAGAGGACGACCAGCCACACUGGAACUGAG